Molecule: long non-coding RNA, 167 nt
Organism: Telopea speciosissima
Lineage: Eukaryota; Viridiplantae; Streptophyta; Magnoliopsida; Proteales; Proteaceae
Exons: 4
Source: RefSeq, a predicted model, not a curated record
GAGAGAGAGAGAGAGGGAGAGAUGGGUUUUUUUUUUUUUUUUUUUUUUUUGAAGAGAGAAGGGCUGUUGAGUUUCAGAGAAUCAUCGGCUCUGAUUUGAGAAAAAUCCCAAAUCUCAGAGAGGGGCAACCACCCUUAGAAACAUCCCAUCUCUCUGAACGAGCCUCA